AUACGUAGGGAGCGAGCGUUGUCCGGAAUUACUGGGUGUAAAGGGAGCGUAGGCGGGAGUGCAAGUCAGAUGUGAAAUACAUGGGCUCAACCCAUGGGCUGCAUUUGAAACUGCAUUUCUUGAGUGAAGUAGAGGUAAGCGGAAUUCCUGGUGUAUCGGUGAAAUGCGUAGAUAUCAGGAGGAACACCGGUGGCGAAGGCGGCUUACUGGGCUUUUACUGACGCUGAGGCUCGAAAGCGUGGGGAGCAAACAGGAUUAGAUACCCUGGUAGUCCACGCUGUAAACGAUGAUUACUAGGUGUGGGGGGACUGACCCCUUCCGUGCCGCAGUUAACACAAUAAGUAAUCCACCUGGGGAGUACGGCCGCAAGGUUGAAACUCAAAUGAAUUGACGGGG
Molecule: ribosomal RNA, 396 nt
Filed under: uncultured bacterium
Lineage: Bacteria
Description: partial 16S ribosomal RNA
Rfam family: Bacterial small subunit ribosomal RNA
Source: RNAcentral